RNAcentral lists this ribosomal RNA (625 nucleotides) under uncultured bacterium. RNAcentral's name for it is "bacterial SSU rRNA". It matches the Rfam family "Bacterial small subunit ribosomal RNA", at positions 338 to 954 of the family's 1533-position model. The record is from RNAcentral.
CCUACGGGAGGCAGCAGUGGGGAAUUUUGGACAAUGGGCGAAAGCCUGAUCCAGCCAUGCCGCGUGCAGGAUGAAGGCCUUCGGGUUGUAAACUGCUUUUGCACGGAACGAAAAGGUCUUUUCUAAUAAAGAAGGCUCAUGACGGUACCGUAAGAAUAAGCACCGGCUAACUACGUGCCAGCAGCCGCGGUAAUACGUAGGGUGCGAGCGUUAAUCGGAAUUACUGGGCGUAAAGCGUGCGCAGGCGGUUAUAUAAGACAGUUGUGAAAUCCCCGGGCUCAACCUGGGAACUGCAUCUGUGACUGUAUAGCUAGAGUACGGUAGAGGGGGAUGGAAUUCCGCGUGUAGCAGUGAAAUGCGUAGAUAUGCGGAGGAACACCGAUGGCGAAGGCAAUCCCCUGGACCUGUACUGACGCUCAUGCACGAAAGCGUGGGGAGCAAACAGGAUUAGAUACCCUGGUAGUCCACGCCCUAAACGAUGUCAACUGGUUGUUGGGUCUUCACUUGACUCAGUAACGAAGCUAACGCGUGAAGUUGACCGCCUGGGGAAGUCGGCCGCAAGGUUGAAACUCAAAANAGAGUAGACGGCGUGAGACGAGACGACGGACGACGACGAGGGAGGAGG